AUGACUCCUAAAUUGCCUCCUAAGAUUAGAAAGUUUGAUUUUGUAUGUGAGAAGCGUAAGAAAAAGAAAAGACUUGAUGAGUUAACUCAAUCUCAAUCAGGAGCUCUUGAUAAAUUUAUUAUAAAAGAAUCACAAAUUUCUGAUGAAAAUCAUAAUGCUGAUGUUGGAAUUAUUGAAAAUAUGAGUGCUAAAGACAAAUCAUCUAGACUUUUUACGGCUAAUUUGUAUACUAGAGUUUUAUCAAAUGGAGAGAAACGCGAUAGAGAUUGA
Non-coding RNA from Vicia faba (fava bean), 270 nucleotides. The record is from the annotation of a GenBank genome assembly. Lineage: Eukaryota; Viridiplantae; Streptophyta; Magnoliopsida; Fabales; Fabaceae.